Xyrauchen texanus (razorback sucker) is the source of this 5533-nucleotide RNA transcript. It is a transcript of the gene named alpha-1,3-mannosyl-glycoprotein 4-beta-N-acetylglucosaminyltransferase C, with no coding region annotated. Lineage: Eukaryota; Metazoa; Chordata; Actinopteri; Cypriniformes; Catostomidae. The transcript is spliced from 8 exons. The record is from RefSeq and is a predicted model, not a curated record.
CAACCCUACACAGGACCUUUGCAUCCUCUGCACACCCAAUUUAACACUCACAAAUGACGGUGUCAAAAGACUUGUGACUUUACGACACGAGGAAGUGAGAAGAUCCGUGUAAAGCAGUGGACAGGCAAUCUCUCUUCAUACUACAAAGUGUACAUUCUCAAUGUUGAGUUCUACUGCUGCACUAGUUUUAUAGGUGUACGGGUGCUAUAGCCCAAAGAAAAAGGUGGAGGAUGAGAUGCCAUCUGAAAAAAUCCUUUCAGUUAGCAGCUGGUCUUUUCCUUUUGGCCAGUGUCUUCGUCUACGUUCGGAGAGCACAAAUGGCAAAGGGGUCAGUGACCUGGGUCUGGGAGACUGAGACUUGGCGUGAAGAGCUUAAGAGCUAUUAUCUACGAUUCAAUGUUUCCAUUAAAGUUCUGGCAGGAGUCCCUCAGCAGUCCAAGAAGUUCCUUACAAUGGGACUUUCUUCUGUGAAGAGGGAAAAGGGCAGUUACCUUCAGAACACUCUCAAAUCAAUAUUCUCUCAGUCCUCGGAGGUGGAGCUGGCUGAAAUUGUUGUAGUGGUUAUUCUGGCUGACUUUGAUGUGUACUGGAUCAAGCAGACCCUACAGACAAUUACAAAUGAAUUCUCCUCCCAGCUGUCCAAGGGUCAAUUGCUAGUUAUCCACGCCAUCCAAGAGUGCUAUCCCCCUCUAACAGGUUUGAAGACAAACUUCAAUGAUGCUCCAGACCGCGUGACCUUCCGUUCGAAGCAGAAUGUAGACUAUGCCUUCUUGCUCCAUUUCAGCAGUAACCUCUCCCAAUACUAUAUCAUGUUGGAGGACGACGUGAGGUGCUCAAAGAACUUUGUCUCUAGUUUACGGGAACACAUCCGUUCAAUGUCAACCACAAAGUGGGUCACGCUAGAGUUCUCCAAGCUGGGCUACAUUGGAAAACUCUAUCAAUCCCGUGACCUGCCCUCUCUGGCCCGUUUCCUUUAUAAUUUCUACCAAGAGAUGCCUUGUGACUUCUUGUUGUCUCAUUUCCGCACCUUGUUGAUGCAGGAUAAAGUCAUUCGUUUCCAGCCAUCUUUGUUUCAGCAUAUGGGCACAUACUCGUCUUUUAAGGCGAUGCAAAAUCAUCUAAAGGAUGAGGACUUUGUUGAAGAAAUUGCUGAUAAUCCUCCAGCAGACAUUAGUACGAACAUUGAGUUUUUUAUGACCUACACACCCGACAAGGCUUAUAGCCAAGGCUUGGAGUAUUUCUGGGGAAAGUCCCCUAUUAGCUCAGGAAACUACUUCUUGUUGACCUUUCACAAUCCAGUUCUCAUCUCCCACAUCCAUAUAAAAACAGGAAUGGAUGGAAAAGACCAGCUUGUCUCUGCUGUUGUGGAACUUGGAAAAAUUCUGGUGAAGUCCUCAAUGGAGUGCUCAGGGUUUCACAUCUUGGGUUCUCUUGAACAAGGACAGUUGGAUCUGCCCGCUGUCCAGAAACUUGUGAACACCACUGUGUCGUGUUUACGAAUACGAGUCACAGCUGACCAAUCAGACUGGGCCAUCAUACAAUUCAUCCAGAUCUGGACUGUUAAAGCUGUCAUAACCAAAUAAUAUCUUUUGAAUAUUGUUUUUUUUUAUCCAUAACUCACAGACUUCAACAAAUCUGUUCUCCAUCUUUUGGUAUAAUAUAUAUAUAUAUAUAUGUAUAUAUAUAUAUGUGUGUGUGUGUGGUAUUAAAAUAUUUACAUUACAUUACAUACAUUUACAUUAGGAAAGACUCCAGCCUAAUAUUGAAUUAAAUACAAGAAGUCUAUUGUGACAGUAGUUGGAGGCAAUUGUAACACUUGAAAAAUAAAUCAUAUUAACUCUCUUAAAUAAAAGCACACCUCAAAGAAAAUGCUUUUUACUUUAAUAUUUGUAUUAAUAAUUAGGUGUAUUAAUAAUAUCCUUAUUAAUAAUACUUAUUAAAGGUGGGGUAUGUGAUUUUCUUUUUUGACCAUUUUUUCAAAAUAACUUGAAAUCCUAUUCCUAACCCACUUACUGGCUGUAAAUUAGAAGCACUGAAAUGAAAAUUAAGCAAUUUAAUCAUCUGUAGAACGGGCAGGACUCGAAAAACUCCAGCCAAUCAUUUUCAAGACCAUCUAGAAUCAUUGGACAGAAAAUGUGUCAAUCAAACGGUCGUACCAUGCCCCCCUACCCCACCACCCUGGCGGGCGUGUCCCGUUCGUGCGCAUACUCAAAGCUCGUGACCCAGUAACAGGAAGCGAUUGUAUUUAUGUAUGGAGAAUAGAGCUUUUAUAGUGCUAGUGGGGUUGUUCCACAUUUCUAUGAAUCCUGUUUUGAAUAGAAGACCGCUGUACAGACGCCAGGGCUGGCGAUGUUCUUUUUUUUUACAGUUAUGAGAAAAUCAGCUCUACACCUUUCAAGAGUGGUAUGCGACCCUCUCCUCCUGCUGUGUCAACAAUUUGCUCUGAAAAAUUGUCUGACAGGUGAAUGCACUGUUUGACUAGUGAGUCUAGAACACUGCGCAUCUGAGUUUUCGCUCGUGCAUGAUUGCGCGUCCAUGUUUUUCGAAUGGGUGGAGUCAGGGCCAGCGUUGGAGGAGAGAAGGUAGGACCUUAGAGUUGUGUAUUUUCAAAAUCUGCCGGCCGUUUUGCAAAUCACAUACCCCACCUUUAAUAAUUAUAAAAUAUUUUUUAGUAUGUGUAAAUGGAUACUUUGAUAAAUUAAUGGUCAUUGCAGAUUUUAAAGAUUCAAUCUUAUGAAAUACAAAUUUCAUGACUGAAUUCUAAGUGUUAGAAUUGCCCCCAAACCUCAUAGUCAUAUACAGUAGAUAUCUGGGACAUUUUAAGAUUCUGUCAUUUAUGGUAAUUGUCCACCAUCAACAUAGUGAUAAAAUAGAUAGCAAUUUAAAUUCAAAGGCAUCAUAGUCUUAGAAAAUUACCAGGCAUCUAAACAAAAAUCCCAUUUAUACCUCAAAAUCACUGAUACUAUCAAACUUUUUUCCCAGCCUUUACUGAGCACUGCUGAAUAACUGUCAUCACUCUAGCCAUCACUCUGAAAUGUAUUAUUAUAAAGCUACAGUAGACAUUCUGUGUUGUCCCGUUACAAUUUUGGCUGGCUCCCCAAGUUUUAUUAAAAGCCCUGUGGCUAACACUCGAUACAGUUGUCAAUUUAAAAAAGCAACAUGAACCACAGAGGCUUCUGUACAUCGUUCCUCCUCCUCCACUUGUAAACAGCGCUGCACUUCUGGCUGUGACGCACGUUUGUCAGUUCUCGCGUCUCUCAAAUGCCAAUGUGAUUACAACACACAUGCGUACCACAGCUGACUGGAAGCAUGAUUUAGAGGUAAUAAAGUACUUCAAUAUUGUUAUUUUUUGCACCAAAUGUUAUCGUGUCACUUUAGAAUACAUUCAUUUAUCAGCUGGAGUCAUAUGGAUGACAUUUAUGCUGACUGUCUGAAUUUUGGAGCUUCAAAAGUCAGAUCACCAUCCACUUGCAUUUUAAGGACCUACUGAGCUGAGAUAUUUUUCUAUUUUUCUUCAAACGUGUUGUGGUGAAGAAAGAAAGUCAUACACACCUGGGAUAUCAUGAGGGUGAGCAGUGUUCGAACAGAGCUCUUGGGGGAUCCUCUUACACCGAAAAACUGUAUCGAGUGUCAAACUGUGUCAAGUAUCAAAUCAACUUGUCAUCUCUUACUUUGUGUAACAUUUAAAUUGCUCAGUUGUGCAGAUCAGCCAGUUUCAUUGCAUCGCACUGCUAGAAUUUUCUCUGAAAAUGCUACUUGCUCAGGUGGUUUGCUGGGGCUUUUCUUCUAUUAGCUUGUAAGAUAAGUUCUGCUUUUGGCCAUGACACAUAGAAGCGCAUCUUUAACAAUUUAAGCCUUGGCUAAAUCUGUCUGAUUUGCAUCAAUAUUUUAGGUCAUUAAAAUAAGACUAGCUGUCUAAGCCAUUUCGGCCAAGUAGGCCGAGGCACACAUAUCAUUUUAGUACAUUAGUGUUACGCUUUAUGGCCUGUGGCCAAGGCACACCUAGCUAGUAUACGCUUGGUGCACAUUGUUUUUGGGAGCAGCGGCAGUACAUAAGUCUUGGCGAUAGAGCUGACUGGUUAAAAGGUUGUGUUUUGUGUUAUGUGCUUUUUGCAGCUUUGCUGCUUUGUUGGGGGAUUGUUUGAUGCUUGAUGCAGCAUGACUUGAAUGUUGUGUAAUUGUGCAACAGCAGCAUGUCCACAUGCUUGUCCACUGCUUUUCUAGCAGAAGAAAGAAUUUGCAUUUGCUCUACAGUGCAGCGUAGCAGAUCAAUUCUGCCAAGACCAAUAUCCUAUUAAUAUGUCAUACCCACAUUAAAAUGCUAAAUCUUUCAGAGAAUUGUCAUGAUUGAACUGUAAAUAAGCCAUUCUUAGGGUUAGGGCUAACAUUGUGUCUCUGUGGCGCUAUGAAAAUUCCACUGUUGGUUUUGAGUGACCCGUCUCAUGAGACACAACUGCACUAGUAGCGCAGAAAUUAAACAGUUCAGCUUUAAUAAAUAUUUUAUUUAUUUAUAGAAUUUGGGGAAAAGCAGCUAUAUUUAUAACAUUUAAAACAUUUUAUAUUUAUAUUUAACCAGUAGAAUAAGCAUUAGAAAUCACUUACUGAUCACACACACAACACAUAUGAAUAAACAGGGUGCAACAAACAAAUAAAUUAAUAAUUAUACCAAUCAAGCACAUGAAUAACAUAUUUGUGACCACACACACUCGUGUGGGCCACACACUGUACGUAUACUGUUUUGUACGUAUAUGCGCAUUUGUAAUAACCAGAACAUACAUUUCAAGAGAAUUCUUUUCUAAUCCUUAUACUUCACAAGCUUUGCCCAAAUGUCCUUUUGGAUCUCAUGGUGACAUGUGGUUUCAGGCUAAGGAGGUGGAAUGAAACAAAUGACAUCCUCGAAUACAUACCAGAUCAUGUCUUCUCUGGUGGGCCAGAAGAGUCGGUUCUCUCCCACACGGUGCAUGCAUCUCACUUGCAUCUGAACCUCAUCAAUGCGGGUGAUAAUGCCUGGGUAGAGGUCUCCAUCAUAUUGUAUGACACACCACUUUUGAAUGACUUCUGGACCCCAUUCGAUCUCUUCUGAUAUUGGUGUGCUUGGCCUGCUCCCUGAAAAACUACACCCUGUACGUGGAAAGACAGGAGUGUGGUCAUUGCAUGGGCAUCAACACCACCAUGUGUAGUGGAACAUGCUUCACACAGAGCUGGUGACUUCCGGCGACACAAGUGACCUGUUGGCGAGUAGAUGUGGGCGUUUCCAGAGAAUUCAAAAAAGUUGAGAAAAGUUUAACUCUAUGCAAAUGAGGACUGACUUUCGGCAGCAACUACCAAUUGGAGUGCAGAUGGUGUCAAUGGAGCUCACAUCAUCCGCCAUGUUUGAGACAGCACUGUUGAGUGCAGACAAGACAGAAAGUUAAAAUAUCUAUCUAGCCAAGACAAGGCUCCAGAACCAAAGAGGCAACCAACAGGUCUACAAAAACAUGAUGGAUUGUCUAAUAAAGACUGUUCGUUCUGAGGGCUACUUUGGGAUGUACAG